RNAcentral lists this ribosomal RNA (782 nucleotides) under Azorella hookeri. RNAcentral describes it as "eukaryotic LSU rRNA". The stretch from base 339 to 494 matches the Rfam family "5.8S ribosomal RNA". The record is from RNAcentral. Lineage: Eukaryota; Viridiplantae; Streptophyta; Magnoliopsida; Apiales; Apiaceae.
GGCGGUUCGCUGCCCGCGACGUCGAAAGAAGUCCACUGAACCUUAUCAUUUAGAGGAAGGAGAAGUCGUAACAAGGUUUCCGUAGGUGAACCUGCGGAAGGAUCAUUGCCAUGCCUAUGGUGCACGACCUGUGAACAAGUAAAAAACAUCAGGGGAUUGCGGCGGGCAGCGAGAGCUGUCCUGUCGCGUUUCCCUGGCCGGACGGUCCCCCGAUCUUCGGGGGUCCCCCGACCAACUCACCCACCCCGGCGCGGAAUGCGCCAAGGAAAAUCAAACUGAACUGCGUCGUCCCUCCCGUUUGCGGGCUGGUGCGUCGUCUAUUUCUAGAAAACACAAACGACUCUCGGCAACGGAUAUCUCGGCUCUCGCAUCGAUGAAGAACGUAGCGAAAUGCGAUAUUUGGUGUGAAUUGCAGAAUCCCGUGAACCAUCGAGUUUUUGAACGCAAGUUGCGCCCGAGGCCUUCUGGCCGAGGGCACGUCUGCUUGGGCGUCACGCUCUAUGCGCCCCCCACCAAACCCCACUUAUGUGUCGGUGCUGGCGGAGGGCGGAAGUUGGCCUCCCGUGCCUCGUCGCGCGGUUGGCCCAAAUGCGAGUCCUUGGCGGCGGAUACGUCACGACAAGUGGUGGUUGUCUCUUUGUCAUCUUAUCACGUUGUGCGGUGGUUCGUCGUUGGUGGGAUCCUCACGUGACCCUAUUUGCGUGCCACUCUUUUGUGUGCUUGCAACACUUGCGACCCCAAGUCAGGCGGGACUACCCGCUGAGUUUAAGCAUAUCAAUAAG